Molecule: long non-coding RNA, 651 nt
Organism: Leopardus geoffroyi (Geoffroy's cat)
Lineage: Eukaryota; Metazoa; Chordata; Mammalia; Carnivora; Felidae
Exons: 2
Source: RefSeq, a predicted model, not a curated record
UGAUUGAAUGAAUGAAUGAAUGAAUAUAAACUGUCUUCCUGGAGAGGGGUCAGAAUUUUCAUCAGAUUUUCAAAAAUGCCUGUGACACAAAAAAAAGAUAGGAACCACUGACAUAGUAAAUCAUCAACAAGUUUACUGGAAAUUUUUGCUUGCCAGGUAGACUGCCUAAUGAAGCAGAAGGUCAUGAGAAAGUCAUUCUCCUUCUCUGACUUGCGUCUCCCUGGAGAACUACUGCCGGUAGCUACUGGGACCUCCUUCCCUAGGACUGGCACUGAGUGUCCCUGGAUCCAGCCCCGAAUGAGCUUUCUCUGGUUAUGGCAUGGAGGAGGGACUGGAGGGCGUUGAGACGGGACUGGCCGGGACACUGGCACAAUAGCCCAGGUGACAAAGGAUGAACGACAAAACAAGGAAGACCCUGACACAGGGCGAGUGAUGGAAGGACUCUGAGAAUGAAGAAUAGUUGGGACCUGUCUGCUGACGGACCGGAGGUGAGGGAGGAGCCUGCAUUGCUUCUGUGUGUUCACGCCACAUAAGGGAGAGCAUGGGGAUUGCACCCCCCGCCAAGCCUGAGCAGUGGUUCAAAGUCGUCAAAUCUCAGUGUUCAUUAAACUCAUUCAGAAUUUCUUCUAUGGCAAUAGAAGGAUGAGUGCA